RNAcentral lists this long non-coding RNA (375 nucleotides) under Ananas comosus (pineapple). RNAcentral's name for it is "long non-coding RNA (ACOM_LNC003620)". Lineage: Eukaryota; Viridiplantae; Streptophyta; Magnoliopsida; Poales; Bromeliaceae. The record is from RNAcentral.
UUUUUUUUUUUUGAAAAUCUUGAUCCAAGGGAUGACAGACCCGCCACAAAUACAGGAGACCCACUGUUCACACGGACAGAGCCUCCCCUGUAUUUGCAUGGCGUCACGCAAGCAUAAGUACAACCACAAUCAUUCACUACACAACAUACUAUUACAUUUUCACGAAAAAAUCCUUUUAAAACUGUUUUUCACACGGAAAUCUUUUCUUUAAAGACACUACCACGAGAGAUAGAAAACCAUUUUCACAACUCACAAACAGUUAUAAAAGUCACAAUGUUUAACUUUAUAAAUCCAUAAACACUCAACCGAAAUAAAACCACUGAACCAUAAAUGUCUAAGUCAUUUAUUUUGAAUAAGCAAUGAGAGAAACUAAAC